RNAcentral lists this transfer RNA (74 nucleotides) under Chloroflexi bacterium 13_1_40CM_4_68_4. RNAcentral's name for it is "tRNA-Val". It matches the Rfam family "tRNA". Rfam says of the family: Transfer RNA (tRNA) molecules are approximately 80 nucleotides in length. The record is from RNAcentral. RNAcentral also lists the same sequence under 2 other names. Lineage: Bacteria; Bacillati; Chloroflexota.
GGGUUCGUAGCUCAGCUGGUUAGAGCACUUGCUUGACAUGCAAGAGGUCCCGCGUUCGAGUCGCGGCGAACCCA